ACGGAGGAUGCGAGCGUUAUCCGGAUUUAUUGGGAUUAAAGGGUGCGUAGGCGGAUAGAUAAGUCAGAGGUGAAAACCUGCAGCUUAACUGUAGACUUGCCCUUGAUACUGUCAGUCUUGAGUAUGUUCAAGGUAGGCGGAAUGUGUAAUACAUCGUUGAAAUGCUUAGAUAUUACCAAGAACACCGAAGGCGCAGGCAGCAUACUGGCCCGAUCCUGAGGAUGAUGCACGAGAGCGUGGGGAUAGAACAG
Molecule: ribosomal RNA, 251 nt
Filed under: uncultured prokaryote
Description: partial 16S rRNA
Rfam family: Bacterial small subunit ribosomal RNA
Source: RNAcentral